This 534-nucleotide ribosomal RNA is filed under the name uncultured eukaryote. RNAcentral describes it as "SSU rRNA". It matches the Rfam family "Eukaryotic small subunit ribosomal RNA", at positions 18 to 550 of the family's 1831-position model. The record is from RNAcentral.
CAGUAGUCAUAUGCUUGUCUCAAAGAUUAAGCCAUGCAUGUCUAAGCACAAGCCCAAGAAUGGUAAAGCCGCGAAUGGCUCAUUACAACAGCCAUAGUUUACUGGAUCUUACAUUCCUACUUGGAUAACUGUGGUAAUUCUAGAGCUAAUACACGCACGAAAGCUCUGACCUUACGGAAGGAGCGCAUUUAUUAGAACAAAACCAAUCGGAGCGCAAGUUCCGCCAAUUGGUGAAUCUGAAUAACUUUGCCGAUCGCAUGGUCUCGUACCGGCGACGUAUCUUUCAAAUGUCUGCCUUAUCAACUUUAGAUGGUAGUUUACACGCCUACCAUGGUUGUAACGGGUAACGGAGAAUAAGGGUUCGACUCCGGAGAGGGAGCCUGAGAAAUGGCUACCACAUCCAAGGAAGGCAGCAGGCACGCAAAUUACCCACUCCCGGCACGGGGAGGUAGUGACGAAAAAUAACGAGGCGGUUCUCUACGAGGCCCGCCAUCGGAAUGGGUACAAUUUAAAUCCUUUAACGAGGAUCUAUUG